Molecule: transfer RNA, 77 nt
Filed under: Thermotogota bacterium
Lineage: Bacteria; Thermotogati; Thermotogota
Also listed under: 1 other name
Description: Thermotogae bacterium (wastewater metagenome) tRNA-Met
Rfam family: tRNA
About the family: Transfer RNA (tRNA) molecules are approximately 80 nucleotides in length. Their secondary structure includes four short double-helical elements and three loops (D, anti-codon, and T loops).
Source: RNAcentral
GGCGGUGUAGCUCAGUAGGCUAGAGCAUACGGUUCAUACCCGUAGUGUCGUCAGUUCGAUUCUGACCGCCGCCACCA